UGGUGGAGUGGUUUGUCUGGUUAAUUCCGUUAACGAACGAGACCCCUGCCUGCUAAAUAGUCCGGUGAGUGAAUUUCACAGAUUAGGACUUCUUAGAGGGACGUGCAUUCUAUUAGAUGCAGGAAGAUAGGGGCAAUAACA
Molecule: ribosomal RNA, 141 nt
Filed under: uncultured eukaryote
Lineage: Eukaryota
Description: partial 18S ribosomal RNA
Rfam family: Eukaryotic small subunit ribosomal RNA
Source: RNAcentral